Molecule: ribosomal RNA, 506 nt
Filed under: uncultured bacterium
Lineage: Bacteria
Description: partial 16S ribosomal RNA
Rfam family: Bacterial small subunit ribosomal RNA
Source: RNAcentral
GGGGAAUAUUGCACAAUGGGCGAAAGCCUGAUGCAGCAACGCCGCGCGAGUGAUGAAGGUCUUCGGAUUGUAAAGCUCUGUCUUUUGGGACGAUAAUGACGGUACCAAAGGAGGAAGCCACGGCUAACUACGUGCCAGCAGCCGCGGUAAUACGUAGGUGGCGAGCGUUGUCCGGAUUUACUGGGCGUAAAGGGUGCGUAGGCGGAUGUUUAAGUGAGAUGUGAAAUACCCGGGCUUAACUUGGGUGCUGCAUUUCAAACUGGAUAUCUAGAGUGCAGGAGAGGAGAAUGGAAUUCCUAGUGUAGCGGUGAAAUGCGUAGAGAUUAGGAAGAACACCAGUGGCGAAGGCGAUUCUCUGGACUGUAACUGACGCUGAGGCACGAAAGCGUGGGUAGCAAACAGGAUUAGAUACCCUGGUAGUCCACGCCGUAAACGAUGAGUACUAGGUGUAGGAGGUAUCGACCCCUUCUGUGCCGCAGUAAACACAUUAAGUACUCCGCCUGGGG